GAUGAACGCUAGCGGCAGGCCUAACACAUGCAAGUCGAGGGGUAGAAGGAGCUUGCUCCUUUGAGACCGGCGCACGGGUGCGUAACGCGUAUGCAAUCUACCUUGUACAGGGGAAUAGCCCAGAGAAAUUUGGAUUAAUGCCCCAUAGUAUAUAACCUUCGCAUGUUGGUUAUAUUAAAGUUCCAACGGUACAAGAUGAGCAUGCGUCCCAUUAGUUAGUUGGUAAGGUAACGGCUUACCAAGACGAUGAUGGGUAGGGGUCCUGAGAGGGAGAUCCCCCGCACUGGAGCUGAGACACGGACCAGACUCCUACGGGAGGCAGCAGUGAGGAAUAUUGGUCAGUGGUCGCAAGACUGAACCAGCCAUGCCGCGUGCAGGAAGACGGUCCUAUGGAUUGUAAACUGCUUUUAUACAGGAAGAAACCCUCCCACGUGUGGGAGCUUGACGGUACUGUAGGAAUAAGGAUCGGCUAACUCCGUG
Molecule: ribosomal RNA, 480 nt
Filed under: uncultured bacterium
Lineage: Bacteria
Description: partial 16S ribosomal RNA
Rfam family: Bacterial small subunit ribosomal RNA
Source: RNAcentral